GAUGAACGCUAGCUACAGGCUUAACACAUGCAAGUCGAGGGGCAGCGGUAUCGAAAGCUUGCUUUCGGUAGCCGGCGACCGGCGCACGGGUGAGUAACGCGUAUCGAACCUGCCUCAUACUCGGGAAUAGCCUUGCGAAAGUAAGAUUAAUGCCCGGUGUUUUCAGAGUCCCGCAUGAGGCUUUGAACAAAGAUUUAUCGGUAUGAGAUGGCGAUGCGUCCCAUUAGCUUGUUGGCGGGGUAACGGCCCACCAAGGCAUCGAUGGGUAGGGGUUCUGAGAGGAAGGUCCCCCACAUUGGAACUGAGACACGGUCCAAACUCCUACGGGAGGCAGCAGUGAGGAAUAUUGAUCAAUGGGCGGAAGCCUGAACCAGCCAAGUAGCGUGCAGGAAGACGGCCCUCCGGGUUGUAAACUGCUUUUAGUUGGGAAUAAAACGGGGCUCGUGAGCCCCCUUACAUGUACCAUCAGAAAAAGGACCGGCUAAUUCCGUG
RNAcentral lists this ribosomal RNA (492 nucleotides) under uncultured bacterium. RNAcentral describes it as "partial 16S ribosomal RNA". It matches the Rfam family "Bacterial small subunit ribosomal RNA", at positions 28 to 507 of the family's 1533-position model. The record is from RNAcentral.